RNAcentral lists this ribosomal RNA (699 nucleotides) under uncultured Bacteroidales bacterium. Its description in RNAcentral is "bacterial SSU rRNA". It matches the Rfam family "Bacterial small subunit ribosomal RNA", at positions 68 to 757 of the family's 1533-position model. Lineage: Bacteria; Pseudomonadati; Bacteroidota; Bacteroidia; Bacteroidales. The record is from RNAcentral.
GGCAUCGGGAUUGAAGCUUGCUUCAAUUGCCGGCGACCGGCGCACGGGUGCGUAACGCGUAUGUAACCUACCUAUAACAGGGGCAUAACACUGAGAAAUUGGUACUAAUUCCCCAUAAUAUUCGGAGAGGCAUCUCUCCGGGUUGAAAACUCCGGUGGUUAUAGAUGGACAUGCGUUGUAUUAGCUAGUUGGUGAGGUAACGGCUCACCAAGGCAACGAUACAUAGGGGGACUGAGAGGUUAACCCCCCACACUGGUACUGAGACACGGACCAGACUCCUACGGGAGGCAGCAGUGAGGAAUAUUGGUCAAUGGACGCAAGUCUGAACCAGCCAUGCCGCGUGCAGGAAGACGGCUCUAUGAGUUGUAAACUGCUUUUGUACGAGGGUAAACUCACCUACGUGUAGGUGACUGAAAGUAUCGUACGAAUAAGGAUCGGCUAACUCCGUGCCAGCAGCCGCGGUAAUACGGAGGAUUCAAGCGUUAUCCGGAUUUAUUGGGUUUAAAGGGUGCGUAGGCGGUUUGAUAAGUUAGAGGUGAAAUCCCGGGGCUUAACUCCGGAACUGCCUCUAAUACUGUUAGACUAGAGAGUAGUUGCGGUAGGCGGAAUGUAUGGUGUAGCGGUGAAAUGCUUAGAGAUCAUACAGAACACCGAUUGCGAAGGCAGCUUACCAAACUAUAUCUGACGUUGAGGCACGAA